Molecule: ribosomal RNA, 486 nt
Filed under: uncultured bacterium
Lineage: Bacteria
Description: bacterial SSU rRNA
Rfam family: Bacterial small subunit ribosomal RNA
Source: RNAcentral
AACGUUGCGGCGGGCUUAACACAUGCAAGUCGAACGGGCUGUUCCGUUCGGGGGCAGUCAGUGGCGCACGGGUGCGUAACACGUAGGUAAUCAACCCUCUGGUUGGGGAUAACACUUACGAAAGGAGUGCUAAUACCCGGUAUGGCGCAGCGGUCUUCGGAUCGCGGCGAGAAAGACCCGCAAGGGUUGCCAGAGGACGAGCCUGCGGCCCAUCAGCUAGUUGGCGAGGUAACGGCUCACCAAGGCGAAGACGGGUAGCUGGUCUGAGAGGAUGAUCAGCCACACUGGAACUGAGACACGGUCCAGACUCCUACGGGAGGCAGCAGUGGGGAAUAUUGCGCAAUGGGCGAAAGCCUGACGCAGCCACGCCGCGUGUGUGAAGAAGGCCCUUGGGUUGUAAAGCACUUUCAAUUGGGAAGAAAGGUUGCGUGUUAAUAGCACGUAGCUGUGACGUUACCUUUAGAAGAAGCACCGGCUAACUCCGUG